This is a non-coding RNA of Pelobates cultripes (western spadefoot toad), 217 nucleotides long. The record is from the annotation of a GenBank genome assembly. NCBI's taxonomy places the organism in Eukaryota, Metazoa, Chordata, Amphibia, Anura, Pelobatidae.
AAAAUAUCACCAAGCUACGACGCUACAACGUAUUCUAGACUGGCAUGAAUUGGAAACGACUAAACAAUGGGUAACCCUAGAUCAUGAGGGGAACGGGUCGAAACUAAAGGCACCGGUAUGGAAAAAACAAACAACUAGGGGUGCAGGAAGAAAAGGGGAGGACCCAGUCACACAAACCCUGCUCACAUAGGAAGCCAUCAGGGAAGCACCGCAAAUC